AGUGAAUGCUGGCGGUAGGCCUAACACAUGCAAGUCGAACGGCAGCACAGUAAGAGCUUGCUCUUAUGGGUGGCGAGUGGCGGACGGGUGAGGAAUACAUCGGAAUCUACUUUUUCGUGGGGGAUAACGUAGGGAAACUUACGCUAAUACCGCAUACGACCUACGGGUGAAAGCAGGGGAUCUUCGGCCCUUGCGCGAUUGAAUGAGCCGAUGUCGGAUUAGCUAGUUGGCGGGGUAAAGGCCCACCAAGGCGACGAUCCGUAGCUGGUCUGAGAGGAUGAUCAGCCACACUGGAACUGAGACACGGUCCAGACUCCUACGGGAGGCAGCAGUGGGGAAUAUUGGACAAUGGGCGCAAGCCUGAUCCAGCCAUACCGCGUGGGUGAAGAAGGCCUUCGGGUUGUAAAGCCCUUUUGUUGGGAAAGAAAAGCAGCAGGUUAAUACCCCGCUGUUCUGACGGUACCCAAAGAAUAAGCACCGGCUAACUUUGUG
Molecule: ribosomal RNA, 492 nt
Filed under: uncultured bacterium
Lineage: Bacteria
Description: partial 16S ribosomal RNA
Rfam family: Bacterial small subunit ribosomal RNA
Source: RNAcentral